RNAcentral lists this transfer RNA (18 nucleotides) under Hymenasplenium hoffmannii. RNAcentral's name for it is "partial tRNA-Phe". The record is from RNAcentral. RNAcentral also lists the same sequence under 1 other name. Lineage: Eukaryota; Viridiplantae; Streptophyta; Polypodiopsida; Polypodiales; Aspleniaceae.
GGCCGAGAUAGCUCAGUC